CGACCGGCGCACGGGUGAGUAACACGUAUCCAACCUGCCGAUAACUCGGGGAGUAGCCUUUCGAAAGAAAGAUUAAUAUCCGAUAGCAUAUUGAGAUCGCAUGAUUUUGAUGUUAAAGAAUUUCGGUUAUCGAUGGGGAUGCGUUUCAUUAGUUUGUUGGCGGGGUAACGGCCCACCAAGACUACGAUGGAUAGGGGUUCUGAGAGGAAGGUCCCCCACAUUGGAACUGAGACACGGUCCAA
This 242-nucleotide ribosomal RNA is filed under the name uncultured bacterium. RNAcentral's name for it is "partial 16S ribosomal RNA". It matches the Rfam family "Bacterial small subunit ribosomal RNA", at positions 92 to 334 of the family's 1533-position model. The record is from RNAcentral.